Molecule: long non-coding RNA, 503 nt
Filed under: Heterocephalus glaber (naked mole-rat)
Lineage: Eukaryota; Metazoa; Chordata; Mammalia; Rodentia; Bathyergidae
Description: lncRNA (ENSHGLG00000031958.1)
Source: RNAcentral
GCCGGCGGGGCCGACGGGAGGGGAGGGCUGCGGGCGCGGCUCCGAGAUGCGCGGGACUCGCGGCGCCUUGGCCCGUACUUCCCGGAGCGGGCGGGGCGGGCUUCCCCCGAGGUGACCCCGGCCCAGGCUCGGGCGGCGCUGCGGAGCUGGGGCUAGGGGGCAGGUAUAUCCUGAAGAUCUCGGGGAAUUGCACAGCUUCCGACGGGAAAGACCAGCUCAGGACGCAGCUCCGUUCUGCAGGUUGGGAUGUACAAGAUCAAGGUGCCAGUAUGUUAGGGCCCAGACUCACUGCUUCCAGGAUGGUGCCCUGAAUGCUGGGUCCAUUGGAAGGAAGAAAUGCUACAUCCUCACAUGACAGAAGAGGAGAAAUGGGCAAGCCAUCACUGCAGUCCUUCUGUUAGUCCACCCCUGAGGGCUCUUGUGACUGAGAGCUGAUGGUCUCUGGUGUUCCCGCUUUCUAAACAGAUGAUUCUGUGAAUGAAAGCCCGCUGUGGUAUUACAGG